RNAcentral lists this ribosomal RNA (941 nucleotides) under uncultured Burkholderia sp. Its description in RNAcentral is "bacterial SSU rRNA". It matches the Rfam family "Bacterial small subunit ribosomal RNA", at positions 539 to 1533 of the family's 1533-position model. Lineage: Bacteria; Pseudomonadati; Pseudomonadota; Betaproteobacteria; Burkholderiales; Burkholderiaceae. The record is from RNAcentral.
GGUUUAGGGGAGAUACCGGGGCUAAAAGGGGGACGGCGGGUUCUUUAAAACCAAAUUUUAAUAUCCCCGGGUUUAACCCGGGGACCCCAUUUUUAGACCCCCGGGCUACAAUAUGGCAAAGGCGGGUUAAAUAUCCCCCGUUACCCAUGAAAACCUAAGAAAAUUGGGGGAAACCCCCUGGGGAAGGCAACCCCCCGGGGCCAAAACUACGGUUCAUGCCCGAAAGCGUGGGGGGCCAAACAGGAUUAAAUAACCUGGUAGUCCCACCCCCUAAACGAAGUCAAAUAGUUGUCGGGUGUUCAUUGACCUGGUAACGUAGCUCACGCGUGAAGUGGACCGCCUGGGGAGUACGGUGCAAAGAUUAAACUCCAAGGGAAUUGCGGGGACCGCACAAGCGGUGGAUGAUGUGGAUAAAUUCGAUGCAACGCGAAAAACCUUACCUACCCUUGACAUGUAUGGAACCCUGCUGAGAGGUGGGGUGCCCGAAAGGGAGCCAUAACACAGGUGCUGCAUGGCUGUCGUCAGCUCGUGUCGUGAGAUGUUGGGUUAAGUCCCGCAACGAGCGCAACCCUUGUCCCUAGUUGGUACGCAAGAGCACUCCAGGGAGACUGCCGGUGACAAACCGGAGGAAGGUGGGGAUGACCUCAAGUCCUCAUGGCCCUUAUGGGUAGGGCUUCACACGUCAUACAAUGGUCGGAACAGAGGGUCGCCAACCCGCGAGGGGGAGCCAAUCCCAGAAAACCGAUCGUAGUCCGGAUCGCACUCUGCAACUCGAGUGCGUGAAGCUGGAAUCGCUAGUAAUCGCGGAUNAGCAUGCCCCCCCGAUCCGUUCUCGGUUCUGUACACACCUCCCGUCACAGCAUGGGAGUGGUUUCACCAGAACUAGGUAGCCAACUAACAAGGAGGNGNNNNCCUAUUGAUUAGCUCCGGCCUCCGCCCCC